CUCACAGUUGUGCUUUGAGCGGCAAUAUCAUCACACAAAAACCCUAGAGGCGAUAUCUUCUACCUCCUCCAGAUUUCAAUCUCCCUCUUCCGGAUCAGUGAACAAUCGACGGUAAUCUCAGUGGUUUAUUUAUCCUCUGCCUCUCUCUCUCUCUCUCUCUCUCUCUCUCUCUGAAGAUCAUCGGCGACUAACCUCAAUCGAAGCUUAGGGUUUGAAAUUUAGUUUCUUCAACGACUGGUUCAAAUAUGAGAAUCUAAAUCGACUAUGGGCAAGCUUCAGUACUCAUAGAAGUAUUUUGAUGAUAUAAUUGAUCACAAGUUGCAUGUUUUUCUUACUCAUGAAGUUGUGAAGCUUUUUCCAAAGAAUUGACUUAUACCCGAGGUAUAACAGUAUAAGCUUAAACGUUACUGAUUAAUGGAUUUUGAAAGCAAGAUUUUUGGAAAAGGAAAUAGAUAUUACAAGUUUUCAAGACAAAGCUAGAUCUGUGGAUGACAAUUUUUUUUGUUAAUGGAUGCCGCUUGGAGCCGAACUGAUGAGGAAUGAAAAUAUAGUAAGGUGCCUUUACCCUGGAACGGGAUGCAGAAGUCUUAGAAUCGAAGCGGAAGAAUGAAGAACUGAAAUAGUUUUUCAUGUGAAGUGUAGCCGGAAGGAUACCAACAAAAGUGGAGCUGGAUAAGAGAGGAGUGCAAUGGGAAAUGUGUUGUGCCCUUGCUUCGGAUACCUACCAGAAUUAGUGGACCAUGUAUUGGUUUCAUGCAAACUCGCGAAAUCGAUUUGGUGGGGAACUGGAGUGUGGCUUGGGUUGAACAAUCUUUCAGCAUGUUCAACUAUCUAAGAAGUGAUCAAAUCUGUGAUGGAUGAACAUUAUCUAAGAGGCAAAGGAAGGCUACACUGUGUGUUGUCUUGGCUGUACUGUGGAAGAUUGUCAAUGCCUCAUUAAGUUCGUCUUAUCUGUGGAAUACAUGUAAGUUGCUGAGACUAACAAAAAACAUGAGGUUAACAGUUGGAAGUUCAGCAUCAGACGCUGAAGAAAUAAAACAAUUUGCAAAAUGGCUUUUGGAUAUAGGUGAGGGAAAUGUUGGUGGUCCAAAUGAUGGAGAAGCAUCAAUUGAAAUACCAAGCGAUCUUCUGAUCACUGAUACAUCGGACCCCAUUUCAACUUUAAUUGAUUUUAUCGAGAGUUAAAACCAGACAAGGAGUUAAACUUCU
RNAcentral lists this long non-coding RNA (1209 nucleotides) under Helianthus annuus (common sunflower). Lineage: Eukaryota; Viridiplantae; Streptophyta; Magnoliopsida; Asterales; Asteraceae. The record is from RNAcentral.